AUGUCGCCGGCUGUUGCACCGCCCACCGCCGAGGCCGGACCUGAUCCACCGGCUCAGCAUCCCGAGGUAGAGAUCAUCACCAUGCGCGUGGUCUCGGCAGCGGAAGAUGCCGACGAGGCCGAGCCGGCCGUGGAUACCACCAGCUUAUCGUGCCCAGUACUGCUGGUUCCCACAUCAUCGUCCUUGGCCAAAGGCAUGCACGUGCUGCUCGUCCAGCCCGCCACGGACUCGCCGGCGGCGUCGCUGGUCCCCGCCAGCCGCGGGGACGACGCACCGGCUGUUCAGCAGGCGAGGGAUAAGGACGCCCGCAACAGCAAGGCCGCCAGGGAGCUCCGGGGCUGGCUGAUGGUCCUCGCCACCGUGAUCGCCUCCAUCACCUACGCCUCAGGGCUCAACCCGCCCGGCGGCUUCCAAGGCGGAGGCGGGGACAGGGUGACGCCCGUCCUCCGCGCCACGAGCCCCAGGAGGUACACCACCUUCUACUACUGCAACACGUCCGCCUUCGCGCUGUCCCUCUCCAUCGUGCUCCUGGUGGCCAGCCAGGACCUGCGGAGGCUCGCCAAGAUCAAGGUGCUGGAGAUCAUCGUGGCGCUGGACGUGCUCGCGCUGCUCAUGGCCUACAUCGUCGGCUCCACGUUCGGGUUGGAAGAGCUCGGUGUUUGCGCCGGCCUGGUGCUCAUCGUGCCGGUGGCCCUCGUCGUCAUGUCGUCUCGCAUCUGUGGGAAAUACUUCUGGGACGAACUCUGA
RNAcentral lists this ribosomal RNA (747 nucleotides) under Triticum aestivum (bread wheat). RNAcentral's name for it is "partial small subunit ribosomal RNA". The record is from RNAcentral. Lineage: Eukaryota; Viridiplantae; Streptophyta; Magnoliopsida; Poales; Poaceae.